GACGAACGCUGGCGGCGUGCUUAACACAUGCAAGUCGAACGGAAAGGCCCUGCUUUUGUGGGGUGCUCGAGUGGCGAACGGGUGAGUAACACGUGAGUAACCUGCCCUUGACUUUGGGAUAACUUCAGGAAACUGGGGCUAAUACCGGAUAGGAGCUCCUGCUGCAUGGUGGGGGUUGGAAAGUUUCGGCGGUUGGGGAUGGACUCGCGGCUUAUCAGCUUGUUGGUGGGGUAGUGGCUUACCAAGGCUUUGACGGGUAGCCGGCCUGAGAGGGUGACCGGCCACAUUGGGCCUGGGUUCCGGCCAGACUCCUACGGGAGGCAGCAGUGGGGAAUAUUGCACAAUGGGCGGAAGCCUGAUGCAGCAACGCCGCGUGCGGGAUGACGGCCUUCGGGUUGUAAACCGCUUUCGCCUGUGACGAAGCGUGAGUGACGGUAAUGGGUAAAGAAGCACCGGCUAACUACGUG
This 467-nucleotide ribosomal RNA is filed under the name uncultured bacterium. Its description in RNAcentral is "partial 16S ribosomal RNA". It matches the Rfam family "Bacterial small subunit ribosomal RNA", at positions 28 to 507 of the family's 1533-position model. The record is from RNAcentral.